This 71-nucleotide transfer RNA is filed under the name Candidatus Shapirobacteria bacterium. Its description in RNAcentral is "tRNA-Gly". It matches the Rfam family "tRNA". From Rfam's summary of the family: Transfer RNA (tRNA) molecules are approximately 80 nucleotides in length. Their secondary structure includes four short double-helical elements and three loops (D, anti-codon, and T loops). RNAcentral also lists the same sequence under 1 other name. Lineage: Bacteria; Candidatus Shapironibacteriota. The record is from RNAcentral.
GCGGCUAUAGUUUAGUGGUAAAACAUAUCCUUCCCAAGGAUAGGUCGAGAGUCCGAUUCUCUCUAGCCGCU